RNAcentral lists this long non-coding RNA (1847 nucleotides) under Homo sapiens (human). RNAcentral describes it as "HSALNT0127618". The record is from RNAcentral. Lineage: Eukaryota; Metazoa; Chordata; Mammalia; Primates; Hominidae.
GUUUAUGUAGUCUUACUCUUCUUUUCUGCCAUUCAUUAAAUGGAACCAUUGCUACAAAGAAAUUCUUGCUGGGUUCUGUACAUGUGCAUGUUUCAAGAAGAAUUGUGUUUAUAGCAGUCCAGUCAUGAUUACAGAAUUUCCUUACAUUUUAAUAUAUAAUUUGCCUCUCUUUGCUGCAGGUGGAACACAGGAAUGGGGUGGAGGAGGGGGUAGACUGCUUUGGAAUGUCAGUCAAAAGGGUGGGAAAAUAUAAUCGGGGCUGGGGCUAAUGCAAAGCACUUGGUGAACCUGCCUUGGUUAAUGGACAAAGCCAAAAUUUAAGCAGGGAAAUUGAGACUGGAGCUGCCUAGAGGGAAAGCAAAAAGCCUAGUGGUGGGACAAGGAGAGUGCAAAACUGAGGCACGGAGCCAAGAAUGUGGAUACUAGGAGGGGAGUCUGAACAUCAGCAGAUUAGGACCAAUGAAGAGUUGUAGGAAUUGAACCCCAACAAUGAUGUAGAUGUCAGCUGUCACUUGUGAUUUCUUACUAGGGAGUGUAAUGCUUAUACUAGCCAUGAAGGAUUUGUUAGGAAAUGUGACCUAUUAAUUUCUAAGAGACAUUGAGAUAAUUAUGAUCUUUUGUAUAGACUAUGUACUAGUUCUUCUUUCAGGUUUUAUUUUUUUUUUGUUAGUAUGUUUUCAUCUUAGAAUUUUCUUUGCUGUAACUCUUUUCUUAUCCAGAAAUGUUCUUAGUCUCUGAUUAUCCCAUGAACGACUGGUGUUCUUUCCUGCCAUUCAGAUCUUACCUUAAAUUGUCACUUCUACCAAGAAGCUUUCCUGACAACACAAUCUAAAGAAUCUGUUUCGGACUUCCUCCAUAACAUCUCUAAUUUUCAGCAUGGGAUCCAUCUGACAUUUCUUCCCUCUUUCCAUUCUUUCUUCACUUCCUCCUUUCUGCCCACCUUUCCUGAUAGAUUUCAAGUUCCAUGAGAGUUAGAACCUUGACUGUCUGAUGUCCUAUGGUAGCUUCAGCACAGAGGAGAAGGAGCCAUUGAAGAAUACUGUUGUCCUAUCCCAGAAGGAGCAAGCGGACAACACUGAUAUCCUGACCACUAACCAUCCAGCACCACUUAAAGUUUUAAAAAGAAUAACAGAAAGAAAGAAGUGGCUGAAACCUAAAUGCCAUAUGGAGAAGACAGCUAAUUGCCACACUCUCCUCUUUGGUCUUUCCUGGUACGCAGCAUACAAGCCCACAGAUUGAGGACUCUGCACUUGCUGUUCUCUCUGCCUGGAGCUCUAUGGCUCCAGAUAGACUCCUGCCAACUCCUUCGCCUUGUCCAAGUUACCUUCAUUAAAUGUCAGCUUAAAUGUGUGCCUACUUUUUGCCCUACCUAGAAUUGCAAGCACCUCUCACCACUGUGCUCCCAUUCUCCUUAACUUAAGCCACUUUUAUUCUCAUAAUAAAGCCACAUAUUUUUUCUUAUUAUAUCAUAAUCGUACUGUAUAAUUUAUAUUUUAUUACUUUUGUUUGUAUACUUAUUGUAUGUUUCUGUUCACAAGGAUGUAAACCCCAUGAACACAGAGAUCUUUGAUUGUUUUAUUCACUGAUUUAUGCCAAAUGUUUGGAACAAUGCCUGGCACAUAGUAGAUGUUUGAUAAUUUUUUUUUUUUCUGAAUGAAUAAAUACAUUUUAGCCAAAUAUGCUGACUCUGCUUGUUUGGUUAUAUUUAUGUGUGUGUGAAUGUAUGUGCAGAAAAAGAAGAAAUUAGUUAAUACCAAAUCUAUAAAAUGGGAAAAAUAAUGCUUACCUUAUAGUGUUGUUAUGAAACUCAACUAAUAUAAGAUAUGUGAAGGGUCUAGCAUAAAAUG